AUUGGAUCUGAGAGCUGGAGAUCGGAUGGCUCAUCGCCGACUGAGAUGCCACUUCCGCCGCCUCCGGAGAGGCGGUCGCGGUCGUCUUCGCCGAAUUCGGAAUCUGCGUCGCCGGCGGCGGCGUGGUGGAAGGAGGAGGAGGAUGAGCCAGCGUUAUCGGUAGUGAGGGCGUCUUCCUCGAUCGGAGAAGUAUGGCCGAGUAAGAUGUUACGGAACUCGUCUU
This 223-nucleotide long non-coding RNA is filed under the name Linum usitatissimum (flax). RNAcentral describes it as "long non-coding RNA (LUSI_LNC000259)". The record is from RNAcentral. Lineage: Eukaryota; Viridiplantae; Streptophyta; Magnoliopsida; Malpighiales; Linaceae.